GAUCCUGGCUCAGAAUGAACGCUAGCUACAGGCUUAACACAUGCAAGUCGAGGGGCAGCGGGAUUGAAGCUUGCUUCAAUUGCCGGCGACCGGCGCACGGGUGAGUAACGCGUAUCCAACCUUCCGUACACUCAGGGAUAGCCUUUCGAAAGAAAGAUUAAUACCUGAUGGUAUGAUGAGAUUGCAUGAUAUCAUCAUUAAAGNUUUAUCGGUGUACGAUGGGGAUGCCG
Molecule: ribosomal RNA, 230 nt
Filed under: uncultured bacterium
Lineage: Bacteria
Description: partial 16S ribosomal RNA
Rfam family: Bacterial small subunit ribosomal RNA
Source: RNAcentral